UUAAAAUCAAAACGGAUAUCGAAAUGUAUCUGUUUAUAGUUUGUUUAAAACUCAACUUUAACUUUGGAAUUUAAGGAUAUGAUAGGAGAGAUAUAUUGUGUAAACCUAGCUUUAUAUCAAUGAUUAAAAUGACGAGAUGGGUUUUAUUAUUCUUUAUAUGUCACUAUUCUGCUUCAGUUGAAAAUGAUCAAGUUUGUGCUGAUAGCUUCUGUUCACAGAUUAUGCUAUCAGCGCCACCCUUUUAUUUUGAAGGACACGUGACAACUGUUGGAAAGCUAGGGUCUAUAAUAUGUCCACCUCAAGAAUUCAAAUUUAGUCUGUUUGAAUGUGACAUGAACAAAUGUGACUGCAAAGUGGCGUUAUUAGUAUAUAACAAUUGCUUCCUAUUUGAAAAAGAUUUUUGUGAUAAGUUCGUAAAUUGCACGGACUGUAAAAACUUUACCAAGAAAUGUUCUACUAAAGAGUUGAAUAAAUACUGUCCUAAACAAUUUCCAAUCUCACCAAAAGUAACGACGACGACUUCAAAACCAAAUGCUGGCCUUACUGUUUUCCUAAUUAGCUUAGUGUGCCUCAUUAUUACAACUAUAAGUGUUUACGUUUAUAAACAGAGGCGAAGACAGAUGCGUCAACUAUAAACACAUACACAAAGAAAUGGUUCCAUGGAGAAGCUAACAUCAUAUUCAUGUAACAAAACAAGAUAAAAUUAAUAAAUUUUAACACAAA
This is a long non-coding RNA of Mytilus californianus (California mussel), 723 nucleotides long. RefSeq lists it as uncharacterized. The transcript is spliced from 3 exons. Lineage: Eukaryota; Metazoa; Mollusca; Bivalvia; Mytilida; Mytilidae. The record is from RefSeq and is a predicted model, not a curated record.